This 659-nucleotide ribosomal RNA is filed under the name uncultured bacterium. RNAcentral describes it as "bacterial SSU rRNA". It matches the Rfam family "Bacterial small subunit ribosomal RNA", at positions 788 to 1446 of the family's 1533-position model. The record is from RNAcentral.
UGGUAGUNCACGCCGUAAACGAUGAGUGCUAGGUGUUAGGCCCUUUCCGGGGCUUAGUGCCGGAGCUAACGCAAUAAGCACUCCGCCUGGGGAGUACGACCGCAAGGUUGAAACUCAAAGGAAUUGACGGGGGCCCGCACAAGCGGUGGAGCAUGUGGUUUAAUUCGAAGCAACGCGAAGAACCUUACCAGGUCUUGACAUCCCGAUGCUAUUCUUAGAGAUAGGAAGUUACUUCGGUACAUCGGAGACAGGUGGUGCAUGGUUGUCGUCAGCUCGUGUCGUGAGAUGUUGGGUUAAGUCCCGCAACGAGCGCAACCCUUAUUGUUAGUUGCCAUCAUUAAGUUGGGCACUCUAGCGAGACUGCCGGUAAUAAACCGGAGGAAGGUGGGGAUGACGUCAAAUCAUCAUGCCCCUUAUGACCUGGGCUACACACGUGCUACAAUGGUCGGUACAACGAGUUGCGAGCCGGUGACGGCAAGCUAAUCUCUGAAAGCCGAUCUCAGUUCGGAUUGGAGGCUGCAACUCGCCUCCAUGAAGUCGGAAUCGCUAGUAAUCGCGGAUCAGCACGCCGCGGUGAAUACGUUCCCGGGCCUUGUACACACCGCCCGUCACACCACGAGAGUUUGUAACACCCGAAGUCGGUGAGGUAACCUUUUAGG